GGUAGACGCUUCGGCGUUUGCC
RNAcentral lists this unclassified non-coding RNA (22 nucleotides) under synthetic construct. Its description in RNAcentral is "RNA (5'-R(*GP*GP*UP*AP*GP*AP*CP*GP*CP*UP*UP*CP*GP*GP*CP*GP*UP*UP*UP*GP*CP*C)-3') from synthetic construct (PDB 6KYV, chain E)". The record is from RNAcentral.